Mus musculus (house mouse) is the source of this 2299-nucleotide long non-coding RNA. RefSeq annotates it as predicted gene, 31530. The record is from RefSeq and is a predicted model, not a curated record. The transcript is spliced from 3 exons. Lineage: Eukaryota; Metazoa; Chordata; Mammalia; Rodentia; Muridae.
CCCCCCGUGUGUGUGUGUGUGUGUGUGUGUGUGUGUGUGUGUGCACGUAUCCCCCGCUGAGCUGCCACCCACAAAGAAGGCUGAAAAGGAAAAAGGCAGAAAAGAAAGCCGCUGAUCCUCUGGGCCUCCCCCCAGCAAAGAAUGGCUGGGGGCGGGGCUUGGAGGGGCCAGCUUGGCCUCUGGAGGUUGGCAUCCCUGGGGGAGGCCUGAGUCCUUCCGCUCCGUUGAAACUCACCUGGGGCUCAUCUUGGCACAGAAGCUGCAAGUCCGGGCACGGCACCCUCUGGGAUCUCACUACCCUCACCUCCUCUGGACAUUCCAGACGCUCAGCGGUGGGUCACAGUUGGGAUCUAGAUGUCCUGAGUGUGCCUAUCUUUUGCGUACCCCCUUUUCCUUUUUCCUUUUUCCUUUUCCUUUCUCCUUUCCCUGUUCUCCCCUCUUGAAGCCAUUUUCUAUUCCCCUACCAAACUAUUGUCCACUUCCUGGACAGCAGCCCUGGGGUGCUUUCUCUAACACACCCAGCAGGCCUAAUUGCAAAAGAAAGAAAGAAGGAAGGCAGGGGCAGGGGGAGUAUGGGGGUGGGCAGAAAACAAAAAAUCCGAACCUCCUACCCGGACCCUUGAGCGCACCACAAACUAGCACACCUCAGCAGCUAAGCAGUAGGCUGAAGCAGGUAAGUGGGCAGUGUCAGCCCACCAGUUUGUUUCAGGAGACCUUCGCCCUUCGCCCUUCGACUUUGGCAGGCGUCGAUCCCUGCAAAUCAAUUCCUUCUCCAUCCUCUAGAUAAAUCUAGAACCAUGGAGCGUUCUAUGAUUCUAAAGAAGUGAUUUUCUGUGGAGUGGCAGCCAUUUUUCUUUUAAAUGGCGGUCGCCGCCUAUUUGAUUGGGGGAGCUGGUGGCGUUCCUUUGGUUAGUCUUCUCACGCGCGACCUGUUGAUGACUCGGAGUGGCAGUGCGCGGAGCUCCGUGGAGAAGCCGGUUAUGUAAACUGCUUGUGUAUUUCACAUUAUCAUCGAGCUAUCUGGAGGCAAUGUAGAUUUUCUAAAGAUCUAAUGAAUAAACAACCAGCAACUGCUGGCGGUGUAAUUUACAUUGUUAAUGCCUACAUAUGUAUAAUAAAUACGCAUUUGUAUGCUUUCAAAUAAACUCUUUAGUUUUAAACCUGUGGUGGUUUUUUUUUUUUUUCCGAAAAAGUAGGGGUGGGGGGAGUCUUCUUAAGAACGCAUGUCAUUUCACUUCGCUAGUACAAAUGACUGCGAGUUGGAGCCUAAAAGCGGGUCCGCGGUCUAGUUAUUUCUCCUACUCGGCGAGGAAGCAAGAUCCGCGCAAAUGUGACGCGCGCUGGACUCAAGCGGGGGAAAAAAGAGCGUGCGCCCAGUAGCUUGUAGCUUUGCGGGUAGUGUGGCCAGAGCGCUUCCUUGCGGAGUGGAACCCGGGAGAGAGACCAAGGACAGUGUCACCAUACCAUCCAGACAUCUUUCCUUAGCUGUCGCCUUUUCCCAAAGAGAAGCGUCAGCGACCCCGGACUCAGACCGCAACUUGGUUGAGGGAUUGGGGAUUGUUGAUGAGUCGACAACCCCUGGAGAGAAAGUUUCUCCAGGAAUUUCCAGAUAGAUGUUUUCCCGCGUGCCGGUUCCCAGAGAGCAUCUGGGACCAGUCUGGGAAAGGCAGGGAGAAAGCAAUGGGGUCUUGGGCUACACCACCCGACUCUUUCUCCUGUGGAGGGCAAAGGGCAGCCAGAGCAGGAAGACACCUAGGAGCCACGCCUCCUUGACCACAGGGUUGGGACUCAGCCCCCAGAGCUUGCUUUCUGAUACUGUGUACCCUCCCUUGGCCACCUAGGUCAGACCAGGCUUGGGCGUUUGAUAUCUUUCCCCUCCACCAACCAGGUGCCACUUCCUUAGCGCGCCUGAAGGCAAAUGUCUUAUCUUGUCCUGGAUCUGGAAUACAUUAUUUUAAUUAAGUCUUUGGCGGUUUACUUUCCUCUGAGAUCUGUUCCACGGUGCAAUUAGGAACGUAUUGGUGCUAGCUCGUAUGAAUAUUCAGGAGCGUGUCAAUUAAUUAGCAGACAGAGGAAUCUCAUUAUGGUGCUCAAAACCCUUUUAGUGUUAAGCAGAAUUAAGGGGGUAUUCGGCAAUGCACUGGAUUAGUGAAUAUUUUACUGUGCACUCAUUUAACUUCAUUAUCGCUGCACUUACACUACUCUCUGAUUUUAUUAAUUAAAUUGCUCAUUAAUUUGGCCAAAAAGGAUAAAAGUUUUAAUGCGCCACCCAAUAACUUGGAAAGUAAACUUUCGCCCC